AUAUAUGUUGAUGUCCAUACGACCUUAACAUAAACACCUUUGAUAUAUGUUGUGUACAACAACAUAUAUCAAAGGUGUUUAUGUUAGGGUCGUAUGGACAU
RNAcentral lists this small RNA (101 nucleotides) under Mytilus galloprovincialis (Mediterranean mussel). The record is from RNAcentral. Lineage: Eukaryota; Metazoa; Mollusca; Bivalvia; Mytilida; Mytilidae.